AGUGAACGCUGGCGGUAGGCCUAACACAUGCAAGUCGAACGGCAGCACAGGAGAGCUUGCUCUCUGGGUGGCGAGUGGCGGACGGGUGAGGAAUACAUCGGAAUCUGCCCAGUCGUGGGGGAUAACGUAGGGAAACUUACGCUAAUACCGCAUACGACCUUCGGGUGAAAGAGGGGGAUCGCAAGACCUCUCGCGAUUGGAUGAGCCGAUGUCGGAUUAGCUAGUUGUCGUGGUACUGGCCCACCAAGGCGACGAUCCGUAGCUGGUCUGAGAGGAUGAUCACCCACACUGGAACUGAGACACGGUCCAGACUCCUACGGGAGGCAGCAGUGGGGAAUAUUGGACAAUGGGCGCAAGCCUGAUCCAGCCAUACCGCGUGGGGGAAGAAGGCCUUCGGGUGUUAAAGCCCUUUUGUUGGGAAAGAAAUCUUUCAGGCUAAUACCCUGUGAGGAUGACGGUACCCAAAGAAUAAGCACCGGCUAACUUCGUG
RNAcentral lists this ribosomal RNA (490 nucleotides) under uncultured bacterium. RNAcentral's name for it is "partial 16S ribosomal RNA". It matches the Rfam family "Bacterial small subunit ribosomal RNA", at positions 29 to 507 of the family's 1533-position model. The record is from RNAcentral.